RNAcentral lists this ribosomal RNA (492 nucleotides) under uncultured bacterium. Its description in RNAcentral is "partial 16S ribosomal RNA". It matches the Rfam family "Bacterial small subunit ribosomal RNA", at positions 29 to 507 of the family's 1533-position model. The record is from RNAcentral.
AGUGAACGCUGGCGGUAGGCCUAACACAUGCAAGUCGAACGGCAGCACAGUAAGAUCUUGCUCUUACGGGUGGCGAGUGGCGGACGGGUGAGGAAUACAUCGGAAUCUACUUUUUCGUGGGGGAUAACGUAGGGAAACUUACGCUAAUACCGCAUACUACCUACGGGUUAAAGCAGGGGAUCUUCGGACCUUUCGCGAUUGAAUGAGCCGAUGUCGGAUUAGCUAGUUGGCGGGGUAAAGGCCCACCAAGGCGACGAUCCGUAGCUGGUCUGAGAGGAUGAUCAGCCACACUGGAACUGAGACACGGUCCAGACUCCUACGGGAGGCAGCAGUGGGGAAUAUUGGACAAUGGGCGCAAGCCUGAUCCAGCCAUACCGCGUGGGUGAAGAAGGCCUUCGGGUUGUAAAGCCCUUUUGUUGGGAAAGAAAAGCAGCAGGUUAAUACCCCGCUGUUCUGACGGUACCCAAAGAAUAAGCAACGGCUAACUUCGUG